UUGGAAAAACCCUUAUUUUUGUUUGGCCUUCACAUACAUACUCACACUUACAAAUCCUUUUUCACAAUCCUCAUUCACGUCGAACUGUACAUAUUACUAACAAGUCAAUACCCUCACGAUAACAUCACACUUUAUUCAAAGAAAUCACAAUUACAUAACAUAAACAAAUCCUGUUACAACACAGCCAUUAACCAAAAACAAUCUUUUCCAAACUUCAUUCUCAAGUCUUAUAUUUUUUACAGGGUUCAGAUUCAAAAAAGGUAUGGAAUAAUUACCAACCGCCGCAAAGCUCCUGACCGCGCAACACGACGAGGUAACACCUCACACUCUCUCCGCCACUCAGAUCGUCCCCUCCGGACACGCAUUCGUCACCGCCACGCCCUUCUGAUCACUCCUCAUUCGUCGAUCCUUCAUGUCAGUAGUCGCUCAAUGAACUAA
Non-coding RNA from Vicia faba (fava bean), 438 nucleotides. The record is from the annotation of a GenBank genome assembly. NCBI's taxonomy places the organism in Eukaryota, Viridiplantae, Streptophyta, Magnoliopsida, Fabales, Fabaceae.